RNAcentral lists this ribosomal RNA (495 nucleotides) under uncultured bacterium. Its description in RNAcentral is "partial 16S ribosomal RNA". It matches the Rfam family "Bacterial small subunit ribosomal RNA", at positions 28 to 507 of the family's 1533-position model. The record is from RNAcentral.
GACGAACGCUGGCGGCGUGCCUAAUACAUGCAAGUAGAACGCUGAAGGAGGAGCUUGCUUCUCUGGAUGAGUUGCGAACGGGUGAGUAACGCGUAGGUAACCUGCCUGGUAGCGGGGGAUAACUCUUGGAAACGAUAGCUAAUACCGCAUAAUAGUAGAUGUUGCAUGACAUUUGCUUAAAAGGUGCAAUUGCAUCACUACCAGAUGGACCUGCGUUGUAUUAGCAAGUUGGUGGGGUAACGGCUCACCAAGGCGACGAUACAUAGCCGACCUGAGAGGGGGGUCGGCCACACUGGGACUGAGACACGGCCCAGACUCCUACGGGAGGCAGCAGUAGGGAAUCUUCGGCAAUGGACGGAAGUCUGACCGAGCAACGCCGCGUGAGUGAAGAAGGUUUUCGGAUCGUAAAGCUCUGUUGUAAGAGAAGAACGAGUGUGAGAGUGGAAAGUUCACACUGUGACGGUAUCUUACCAGAAAGGGACGGCUAACUACGUG